RNAcentral lists this ribosomal RNA (173 nucleotides) under uncultured bacterium. Its description in RNAcentral is "partial 16S ribosomal RNA". It matches the Rfam family "Bacterial small subunit ribosomal RNA", at positions 339 to 504 of the family's 1533-position model. The record is from RNAcentral.
UGACGGGAGGAGCAGUGCGAAUCUUCCACAAUGGACGCAAGUCUGAUGGAGACAACGCCGCGUGAGUGAAGAAGUGUCUUCGGAUCGUAAAACUCUGUUGUUAGAGAAGAACACGAGUGAGAGUAACUGUUCAUUCGAUGACGGUAUCUAACCAGCAAGUCACGGCUAACUAC